This 467-nucleotide ribosomal RNA is filed under the name bacterium 1611-S5-10-1. RNAcentral describes it as "bacterial SSU rRNA". It matches the Rfam family "Bacterial small subunit ribosomal RNA", at positions 59 to 515 of the family's 1533-position model. The record is from RNAcentral.
AAGUCGAGCGGUAACAGGAAGUAGCUUGCUACUUUGCUGACGAGCGGCGGACGGGUGAGUAAUGCCUGGGAAUUUGCCCAUUCGAGGGGGAUAACAGUUGGAAACGACUGCUAAUACCGCAUACGCCCUACGGGGGAAAGGAGGGGACCUUCGGGCCUUCCGCGAAUGGAUAAGCCCAGGUGGGAUUAGCUAGUAGGUGAGGUAAUGGCUCACCUAGGCGACGAUCCCUAGCUGUUCUGAGAGGAUGAUCAGCCACACUGGGACUGAGACACGGCCCAGACUCCUACGGGAGGCAGCAGUGGGGAAUAUUGCACAAUGGGCGAAAGCCUGAUGCAGCCAUGCCGCGUGUGUGAAGAAGGCCUUCGGGUUGUAAAGCACUUUCAGCGAGGAGGAAAGGUUACUGGCUAAUAUCCAGUAGCUGUGACGUUACUCGCAGAAGAAGCACCGGCUAACUCCGUGCCAGCCGC